GUGAAUCAUCAAAUUUUUGAACGCAAAUUGCACUCUUCGGUUUUCCGGGAGAGAAUGCUUGUUUGGGGGCCUGUUUAAAAAAUAAUCGAGGCUGCUGCUGUGGUGGCUCUUCGGAAUUGGGACAUCUUUCUACUUUCGGUUGUUAGUGACCUAAAUUUCUUUUUACGAUUUCUAAGAACGUGCUUUAGA
RNAcentral lists this unclassified non-coding RNA (189 nucleotides) under Glomeromycetes sp. Its description in RNAcentral is "partial internal transcribed spacer 2". The stretch from base 1 to 72 matches the Rfam family "5.8S ribosomal RNA", at positions 84 to 154 of the family's 154-position model. Lineage: Eukaryota; Fungi; Glomeromycota; Glomeromycetes. The record is from RNAcentral.